RNAcentral lists this long non-coding RNA (880 nucleotides) under Cavia porcellus (domestic guinea pig). RNAcentral describes it as "lncRNA (ENSCPOG00000036714.1)". Lineage: Eukaryota; Metazoa; Chordata; Mammalia; Rodentia; Caviidae. The record is from RNAcentral.
CAAAACCAUUUUAGCUCCACUCCUGGAAGAGAUUUGUUUCGCUUUUCACUCUCAAAUCAACUGUCUCAGAUUGACAGACCAAGAAUCAAUCAGCGGUGAAGGCUGUCUGAACUACCCAAUCAAGUGCGCUGAGGGGGAGGGCACUUCCGGUGUCAUGGCGCCGCACUGAGUGCUGAGACUGAUUUGAUGAGGGGGUCACGCUGACUAGUCCAAACCGCCUUUUUCUGUGAUUUCUGCUGGCUGUGCGCUGCGUUGGAAGGAUCCUGGGAGACCUCAAGCACGCAAUGGCGGAGGUGACUCUCCCCGGGUGUGCAGUGAGCAGGGAUUUUGGAGGACCCUGGGAUCAUUCCUCAGUGAUGGAGAAGUCAUCGCUUCAGUUUCUCACGUGAGACCUUUACUUCCAACAUUAUUAUUGCAUAAACAGGACUCGUGGUCUCACAGCUCUUUGCAAUGAGGUCGCGAACCCAAAGAAGGGAGUCAGGAAGGAUUUUAUUGGAAAUAAGACUACCUCCGUGAUUUCCAGAAGUGACCUGAGUGAGUAGCACGGACCUCUCAAUCCAGAGCUAAUUAUAGAUAAGCAGAGCCCGGGCAAUGCUCAGUGAUUCUUGGACAUCUAUCACAGAGGGCUCUGGAUUUAAAACAGCAUUUUAAAUGCACGAACUGUAGCCCAUUUCCUUACCAUGCACCUGUUAAAUCGAAACUGGAAUUUUAAAAAAAAACACCGGGUAUUUUGUAUUUUCAGUUUCUGGAAAUCAGGGCACUUGGUAGAGUAGCCCCAACUCCUUUGGGAGAGGAGGCUGCAUUCUGUCGUGUAAUUGGUUAUUUUCAGUUUAAUUCUUAGCACAGUAGCUCAUUUGCCAACUCUGUGUCAGGCUCUUCC